GCGCAUGUGGCGUAAUGGUAGCCGCGUUAGACUUAGGAUCUAAUGUCUCAGGACGUGGGGGUUCGAGUCCCUUCAUGCGCA
RNAcentral lists this transfer RNA (81 nucleotides) under Bacteroides sp. RNAcentral's name for it is "tRNA-Leu". It matches the Rfam family "tRNA". From Rfam's summary of the family: Transfer RNA (tRNA) molecules are approximately 80 nucleotides in length. Their secondary structure includes four short double-helical elements and three loops (D, anti-codon, and T loops). The record is from RNAcentral. Lineage: Bacteria; Pseudomonadati; Bacteroidota; Bacteroidia; Bacteroidales; Bacteroidaceae. RNAcentral also lists the same sequence under 2 other names.